Molecule: ribosomal RNA, 497 nt
Filed under: uncultured bacterium
Lineage: Bacteria
Description: partial 16S ribosomal RNA
Rfam family: Bacterial small subunit ribosomal RNA
Source: RNAcentral
GAUGAACGCUGGCGGCGUGCCUAAUACAUGCAAGUCGAGCGAACAGACGAGGAGCUUGCUCCUCUGACGUUAGCGGCGGACGGGUGAGUAACACGUGGAUAACCUACCUAUAAGACUGGGAUAACUUCGGGAAACCGGAGCUAAUACCGGAUAACAUGUUGAACCGCAUGGUUCAACAGUGAAAGACGGUCUUGCUGUCACUUAUAGAUGGAUCCGCGCCGCAUUAGCUAGUUGGUAAGGUAACGGCUUACCAAGGCAACGAUGCGUAGCCGACCUGAGAGGGUGAUCGGCCACACUGGCACUGAGACACGGUCCAGACUCCUACGGGAGGCAGCAGUAGGGAAUCUUCCGCAAUGGGCGAAAGCCUGACGGAGCAACGCCGCGUGAGUGAAGAAGGUCUUCGGAUCGUAAAACUCUGUUAUUAGGGAAGAACAAAUGUGUAAGUAACUAUGCACGUCCUGACGGUACCUAAUCAGAAAGCCACGGCUAACUACGUG